GAAAUGCGAUAAGUAGUGUGAAUUGCAGAAUUUAGCGAAUCAUCGAAUCUUUGAACGCACAUUGCGCCCCUUGGUAUUCCAUGGGGCAUGCCUGUUCGAGCGUCAUUUCAACCCUCAAGCACUGCUUGGUGUUGGGCGUUUGUCCCGCCUACGCGCGUGGACUCGCCUCAAAGUCAUUGGCAGCUGUUCCCCUUCGGCUCGUAUGCGCAGCACAGUCGGCGCCCGGAGCUCUGGUGGGAUGGCGUCCAGCAAGCUAUAUUUUCAGGCUUGACCUCGGAUCAGGUAGGGAUACCCGCUGAACUUAAGC
RNAcentral lists this unclassified non-coding RNA (307 nucleotides) under plant metagenome. RNAcentral describes it as "partial contains 5.8S ribosomal RNA, internal transcribed spacer 2, and large subunit ribosomal RNA". The stretch from base 1 to 105 matches the Rfam family "5.8S ribosomal RNA", at positions 50 to 154 of the family's 154-position model. The record is from RNAcentral.